This 236-nucleotide ribosomal RNA is filed under the name uncultured Pseudomonadota bacterium. RNAcentral's name for it is "uncultured proteobacterium partial 16S ribosomal RNA". It matches the Rfam family "Bacterial small subunit ribosomal RNA", at positions 554 to 784 of the family's 1533-position model. The record is from RNAcentral. Lineage: Bacteria; Pseudomonadati; Pseudomonadota.
UUGGGUUUAAAGUGCUCGUAGGCGGUUUAUUAAGUUAGGUGUGAAAUCCCUGGGCUCAACCUAGGAAUGGCACUUAAGACUGUUAAGCUAGAGUAUUGUAGAGGGGGGUAGAAUUCCAGGUGUAGCGGUGAAAAUGCGUAGAGAUCUGGAGGAAUACCGGUGGCGAAGGCGGCCCCCCUGGACAUUGACUGACGCUGAGGGGCGAAAAGCGUGGGGGAGCAAAACAGGAUUAGAUA